Long non-coding RNA from Passer domesticus (house sparrow), 845 nucleotides. RefSeq lists it as uncharacterized. The transcript is spliced from 3 exons. The record is from RefSeq and is a predicted model, not a curated record. Lineage: Eukaryota; Metazoa; Chordata; Aves; Passeriformes; Passeridae.
ACCACAUGGACCCCACAAUGUCCCCAUAACCACAUGGGCCCCAUGACCCCACGACCACAAGGUCCCCAUGGCCAUAUAGCCCCCACGACCACACAGACCCUAUAACCACACAGCCCCCAUGACCACAUAGACCCCACAACCACAAGGUCCCCACAACCACAUGGCCCCCAUGACCCCAAGACCACACAGCCCCCAUGACCACACAGACCCCAUAACCACACAGUCCCUAUAACCACAAGGUCCCCAUGACCCCCAUGGCCCUCACAACCACACAGACCCCAUAACCACACAGUCCCCAUGACCCCACAGCCCCAGACUGGGGUCCCCACCGACCCUGCUGGCCCGCAGUAAGAGGAAAUGAAUUUCCUGACAGGCAAUGCGUGUUGAGAGCCAGGACCUCGGAUUCCUAAGAAGAGCAUUGGGGAAACUCAGCCUGUCCCCCAAGUGAUUCACCAGCCAGCUUUGCAGAGAAAGUCCCAAAGUUGUCCAGGAGUUAACUGUUGGGUUUGGGAUUUCAGAGUGGCUGCCACGUCCUUUCCUGAAUUCCUGGGUGCCCAGAGCAGACACUGCUGCUCUGCUUUUCUGUUCCUUAGAAAAGCCACUUCCCAGAUGGAUGUGACUUCUUAGGAGGUAUUUGCUUAGCAAUAGGCAUAAAUCUUCUGCUCUUCACAUCGGUCUGGUUCUGAAGUAGCGAAUGCUCCCAGGCAUGUCAGAGUACAGCAAAUCCAGAGCUGCAGACACUGCAUCCAAACUAAACUGGGGCUGAGCAGGCGGGGAUAUUCCUGGAUAAGCUGCUGGAAAGCUGAGGUUGCCUGGUGAGCCAGGAGUGCUGCUUCAGGAGGGAG